RNAcentral lists this long non-coding RNA (6415 nucleotides) under Sus scrofa (pig). RNAcentral's name for it is "lncRNA (ENSSSCG00015014866.1)". Lineage: Eukaryota; Metazoa; Chordata; Mammalia; Artiodactyla; Suidae. The record is from RNAcentral.
AUUGUUGGCAAUUGCAAGGGGACUCCUGGGGAUGGGGAGGGGUAGAGAAGGGUCCUGGGAGCCAGACAAGGAACAGAACCAGAGGAGGGAAUAUUCCAGAGCUGCCCAUGGCCACAGUAGGGCAACAAAACUGACUCCAGGCCUGGACACCUUCUCACUGACCCCAGCCUCCACCACUUCUUACCUACCAAGGCCAGAACCCUCAAGUUAAUCCACUGACUUAUGCUGUCUCAGAAUGCCACCUCUUGGGGGUUCCAAUUAGUAUUUUUCAAACUGAGGGCCGUGACCCAUUAAUGGGGUUGUGAAAUCAGGUUAAUAGGUCACAAUCAGCAUUUUUUAAAUCAGGAUAGAAGUGAAUAGAUAACACCAGAGUUUACUGCACACUGCCAGUGAGGAUGCUAUUUGGAACAGUUUAGCUUCAGAAAAAGAAAAAAAAAUAUAUGUGUAUAUAUAUGUAUUUGUUACUAUGGUCUUGGAAAUAGUUUGAAAGCCACUGAUUUAAUUACUUCAAAAUGAGAUAAGCUGCCUUAACCCUUUCUGGAAAAAGGUGGGCAAGGGGUAGAGAUAAAUACUUAAAUGAAAAAAUGAAAUAAAAAUUUAAAAAAUAAAUGAACUUUUAAAUGAAAUAACAAGUGAGCAUAACCGAGCUUACACGAGUAAUUUCCAACCCAGUGAGUAUCUGCAGGGCAUCUUGCUGUGUCCAUGGCAGUGUCCUCGGUGGUCCAAGAUACACAAUAACAAACAAGAUCCAGAACUCAGUGCUUCCAGCUCUGAGGAGAGGUGAGAAUGGAGCACACUUACUACUGAUUCCAGGCAAGAGAUGCAGUACAAACGCUGAAAAGACACCUUGAAGACUUUCAAGCCCAGAAAUUGCAGAUACUCAUGAGGGUUCAUGAGGAAGAUGGUACUUGAGUUGUCCCUUAGACUUGAGGUAGUUUUUAAUUAAGUGAGACGUGAAAGGCAUUCAGGAAGAGGGGCAGGAAAGUACAGAACUUCUCCAAGAAGCAGGAAGUAAUCUCAUUUGAUUGAGCACAUUAUGAAUAAGGGUAGGUGGGAUUUCUGCAGGAGGUAACACUGCAAAAAUAGACUGGGACCUCCAUCAGACACAGACCCUCUUUUUUUCUUUUUGCUUCCCCGUGGCAUGUGUAGUUCCCAGGCCAGAGAUCAGAUAUGAGACACAGUUGUGAUCUAGCUUUAGCUGUGGCAACGGCAGAAUUUUUAAUCCACUGUGCAGGCCAGGGAUUGAACCCACGUCCCAGUGUUCCAGUGAGGCCACCCAACCCAUUGCACCACAGUGGGAACUCCUCAGACCCUCUUCAACCAUCGGUUUCUUCAUUAUUGAAUCAAGUUAAUGGUACUUACCCUACUCACCUGUCGAAAGGCACAGAACACUGAAAAAGAGAGAAAAUGGAAAGAAGCAGGGAAGGAUAUUGCCCAAUUCACCCACUCACUCAACAGCCAUUCCCAAGCCCUGUUGGGUGGCCAGGGCCAAUCUGGAAUACAUGGAUGGAUGAGCCAGCCCUGUGGGGCGCACAGAAACUCAAAGAACAAGUCAUCUCCUCUGCCUUGGAAAGUUACAAAGUGUCACCAAUGGCAGGACACUUGGGCUGAGUCAAGAGAGAUGAGUUGGAAUUUCAAAGGGGGAGACUGGAGGAACAGCAUGUAUCAAGGUUAUAGAGUUGUGAAAGGGCUGAUAUGUCUGUAGAAUGGUGCCGAGGCUCAGGGGCAUAGAUAAGGCUGCCUUGUACAAUUUUUCACAUUAUACCCUAAACAAGGCUGCCCAGCUGAAGGCAUGAAGGGAAUCUAAUUCAGUCGAUGCUGGGCUGACCAAGCCUUAUGCCAUGACUUUUCCAAGUCACACAGGGGUGCCAUCUGCUGGUCAAACUCUGUGUCUGCAGGACCAGGCUUGUAUUUUUCUAAUUUGCACCAAGGUUCUGCCUGUAUGGGCUAGAGAAGGCUGCCAUUGGCACGACCCGAGAGGAAGGCAUAUGAGAUCCAGAGAGUAAAGGAAAUUCACUUGGGCAGCAAAGUGAAUGAAAGCAGCUUCAUCCUCGAUUCUCCUUAGUGUGGGCUUCAGGAAUCUUCUCUCCAUCCCCAACUUUGGCUCCCUACUCAGACACCUAGCUUUGGCACAAACACUUUACUUCCUUCUCUGACUGCUUCAAACCAUCCUCUUCUCAAGGCUGUGCUCUGCCCCUCUGCCACUUCCUCCAGAUAUUCUUCCCAGAUUCACCAAGCAGGACUUACCACUGCCUUUUAUUUAGUCUGUCUCCUGCCCCGUGCAGGUUUGUACUUCCGAACCUGUCUCCUGCCUGCGGGUGGCGUAUGUAUCCCUGCAUUGCAAUCACACAUGUUCCUCCCAUCUGCUCAGGCCAUCAGUCUCAUGGACACACCUCCAGAUUAGGGACCACAUCGUUUUUCCCUUUACAGCUCCACAUGGCUGGAAGAAUAAACAGUGACUCACAGAGACAAUUGCUGAUUCACCAAUAAAGAAAGUGAGAAGUUCCCCAUUGUGGCUCAGUGGUACCAGUCAAUGGUUUGACUGGUAUCCAUGAGGACACGGGUUCAAUCCCUGGCUUUGCUCAGUGGGUUAAGGAUCCAGCGUUACCCAUGCGCUGUGGUAUAGACUGGCAGCUAUAGCUCUUAUUCAACCCCUAGCCUGGGAACUUCCAUAUGCUGUGGGUGCAGCCCUAAAAAAAGACAAAAAAAAAAAUAUGAACCUCAACAUGAGCAGUCGUGGGGUAGGUGCCCAGAACCCUCUUCGGGGAGGGUUUUCAGCUGCACAGAGUAGAUCCUCUGCCUCCUACAGAUACCCCCAGUGCCUCAUGCAGAUACCCCCAGUGCCUCAUGCAGAUACCCCCACAGAGAAGCCUGCCAGUGCCUAAUUAUAGACCAGACUAAGUAGAAUCCUAUGAUUUCUAUUUGCACCAAGGGGUGGAUAAUUGAUAGCAUCUUCUUCCUCAAGAGAGGAUUUGAUUCAGGGCAGAGAGCAUGAAGAGAAAGGGCAGCACAGACAGGAAAAGGGAUUUAAAAAAUAAAUAAAUAUGGGUGUUCCAAUUGUGGCUCAGUGGCUAAAAACCCAGCAGAGUGCCCAUGAGGAUGCAGAUUCAAUCCUUGGUCUUGCUCAGUGGGUUAAGGAUCCAGCAUUGCCAUAAGCUGCAGCUUAGGUAGCAGAUGUGGCUCAGAUAUGUGGUGGCUGUGGCUGUGGUGUAGGCCAGCAGCUGUAGCUCCAAAUGGACCUCUAGCCCAGGAACUUCCUUUCUGCCACAGGUGCAGCCCUAUAAAUAAAUAUACAAACAAACAAACAAACGUGCAUUGAGUCUAAAUCCGCACACAAAGAGGAGGAAGGUGGAAGAACUGGAAUGGCAGCCUGGAAGUGAGCGGAUCCAUCUCCUUCUAGAGGCUUCCCCCCCCCCGCCCAGAAGGCAGCUCAGGCCUGCCUCUCCCAGACAUUAACUACUCCUGCAGUUCACUCCUUCAUUACACACAAACUACUGCAGACUUUGGCUGGGCAAAAAGGAGUUUCUGGGGAAAGAUGGAAUGGGAACUACCUGGAUCCAGGGAUAAGGAAGGAGCCCAGGAGGCCAGUGUGACCAAGCUCAGCUUGGUAGAUAAAGGGCAGAAGUGGGGCAUAAUGGAAAGAACAAAGCCUUACAGAGCAGAUGCCAUAGACUGAAUGUAUCUCCCCAUAAUUCACAUGUUAGAGCUAUAAUACCCAGUGUGAUGGCAUUUGGAGGUGGGGCCUCUGGGAGGUGAUGAGCUCAUGGGAGUGGGGCCCUCAUGAGUGGAAUUAGCACCCUUUACAAUGAGACCCACAGAAGGAUAAUCUCUCUCUUCCUGCUAUGUGAGGAUAGAGCAAGAAGUCAGCCAUCAGUAAGAGAGCUUGCACCAGGAACCCAAUCAGCCAGUACCUUGUUCAUGGACCAUCCAGCCUCCAGAUCUGCGAGAAAUAAAUAUUUGUUGUUUAAGCCACUCAGUCUAUGGUAAUUCAUUGUAGCAGCUCAAGGUGACUAAGACAGCAGAUAGAGCUGGACUCUCUUACCACAUGUUGCUGCCCCUUACAGGAGAAUGGCUAAGCAGAAAUACAUGUAAUCACACACACACACACACACACACACCAGCUCUGAACACUUGUCAGCCCUGCACAAAAUCAGGGGGAAGCUGGGCACUGUCGUGGAAAGAGAGUUACAAAGAGGAAUGUGAAUAGAUCUAUAUUUGAGAAUCAAUUAUAUAAUAAUGUCCUUGCCUUAAAGAGCUCACUUGGGAGGCUGUUAGCCUUCAUAGCAAAUCACAGUGCAAAGGAUAUUAUAAAUUAUAUGACAAAGCUAUAUAUAAUGUGAUGUGGGAAUCUGGAGAAACGCUGGAUUCAUUUGUGCCAGAUUAUAUAGAAACAUGAAUGCAUGGAAAGGCCUGUGGUCUGAGCAGGGAUGGAGUGUGAUCAAUGCAUUUUGAAGAAAAUUCUAUUAUCUCAGCGAUUGGAAGGCAGAGACCAGAGCUGGAAGAGAAGUUAGAAAGAAACUGCAAUUAAAAAUAACAGUUCCUUUGUGAUGCAGUGGGUUAAGGAUCUGGCAUUGUCACUGCAGUGGCUCAGGUGGCUGCUGUGGUGCAGGUUCAAUCCGCAUGCCAUGAGCACAGCCAAAAGAAAAAAAGAAAGAAAAAUAACAAUUCCUAAUCCUGAGCAUAUCCUUUGUGCAAGGCCUGGUUCUAAACACUUUAUGCAUAUGACACAUUUGUGCCCACAAUGAUGUGCGGUGGUAUGAGUUGAACUUUGUGUGUUCCCAAAUAUUUGUAUGUUGAAGUCCAAAACCAAAACCUCAGAUGCAACCUGACUAGAAAAUAAUAUGUAAAUAGUUAACAUGUAGUCAUAGUGGAAUAGGAAGGGCCCCUAAUCCAAUGUGACUGGCAUCUUAUAAAAAGGGAAAAUUUGGACACAGACACACAUACAGAGGGAACGCCAAGUGAAAAUGACAGCAAAGACAGAAGUGGUAUAUCUACAGGCCAAGGAAGGCCAAAGAUUACCAACAAACCACCUGACGCUAGGAAAGAGGCCUGGAAAAGAUUGUCUCUUACAGUCUCAGCAUUUACUGCUCCAUAGUGCCACCCCAGGCAAUGGGGAGUUCCUCAUAUGCUAAGGGUUUAAUGCAGAUGCACUACUACUGAGGUGGAAAGAGCACUAACUCAGGAGUCAGAAAAAUUGAGUUCCUGUCCCAGCACAACCACUCACCUUCUGAGUGACCUUGACCAAGAACUAGCCAGGCACUACCCUCUGUCCUGCUCCCUUUGUGGACAAUGAAGGCCUUGGGCCAAAAAGCUACUGUCAAUCAAUUCUCCUACCCUCAAAUCUGUAGGGUUCCACUGCUGUUGUCCUCAUUCUACUAUGACUAGAGGACACGUCUACACUCUUACUCACACUCCUGCCACAAUAGCACAUCUCCUGAGAAGCCAUUCCUGGGUAUACCAGCCCAUGGAGCACAUUUCCAUCCUCAGAGCCCCUCAGCACUGAUGGCCUGCCCUGCGAUGGGCCUGAGCCUAUAUUUAGUGUCUGUUGUUGGUGACCCAUCUUCCAUGGGUGUGCACUUUUUCCAACUAGGUAGGAAAUUUCCUGAGAGGUGAGAAUAUGUGCUUUGUACCUGUCGCAAGAAUACAAGCAAAGUGAGCUAUUAUAAUGACAAUGAUGGUGAUGAUGAUGGGGGGGGGUGAUGGUGAUGAUGAUGGUUGAUACCUUUUACCAAGCAUACUAUACACACAUGCUCAUCUUUUCCUGAUAAUUACCGUGAGAAGUAUUAUCUUUCCAAUUUUACAAUGUGGAAAUAUAAGUACAAAGAGUUUACAGAAUUUGCCCAAGGUACACCAGGAAGAAAAUUUUGGAGUCUGGGAGUCUUUGGCUCACAGCCCAUGUGCUUAAGAACCAACUGCUACUACCUGCAAAGCUUGGCAAGGUGUGUUCUUGCUGCACACCCACAUCCACGCAUGGGGCUGUUCAAAUGCCUUCAGUUUGUGACAUCUCUGUCUAGAUCAUAGCUAUAUUCCCAGUACCUGGCAUAAUAUACAGUGUAUGAAUGUCUGAAUGAAUGGAUAAGUCCUAAAAGAAAGGUCACCACCCCCAGGCUUUGCCAGCCAUUCAAAGGUUCAGUACUGUUUAUCCAUCCAGCCCUGCACCCCCAAGCACAUUACAUACCCUUAAAUCUAUUGGAAGAAGAAAAGGAAAACCCAUUCGCUUUAAAUUAUCUACUCAAAUGCUAUUUACCAAGCACUGUCUCUGAACACAGCCCUUCAUCUUUCACAUUCUCUUUUAGCACAUUUUAGGAAUUCUUAAUAAACUCUAGGCAGCUAACAAACACAUAUCUGAAGGCUCAAAAUGCAUGUUUAGGGUGUGGCCCUAAAAAGCAAAAAAAGCAAAAAAAAAAAAAAAAAA